Molecule: unclassified non-coding RNA, 189 nt
Filed under: Paraglomerales sp.
Lineage: Eukaryota; Fungi; Glomeromycota; Glomeromycetes; Paraglomerales
Description: partial contains 5.8S ribosomal RNA and internal transcribed spacer 2
Source: RNAcentral
GUGAAUCAUCAAAUUUUUGAACGCAACUUGCGCCUUCUUUCGGGAGGCAUGUCUGUUUGAGGUCACCAUUUAAUAACUAAUGUGCGGGUCGCUAUGCGGCGUGCACACGUUGAUGAGCUCUUCCGAAAAACCAGGUUUUUUUGUUGACACAUAAUGAACAGCGUGGGCUUUUUCUUUUGCUUAUCGUUU